AUUGAACGCUGGCGGCAUGCCUUACACAUGCAAGUCGAACGGCAGCACGGGAGCAAUCCUGGUGGCGAGUGGCGAACGGGUGAGUAAUGUAUCGGAACGUGCCCAGUCGUGGGGAUAACGUAGCGAAAGCUACGCUAAUACCGCAUACGAUCUAUGGAUGAAAGCGGGGGAUCGCAAGACCUCGCGCGAUUGGAGCGGCCGAUAUCAGAUUAGGUAGUUGGUGAGGUAAAGGCUCACCAAGCCGACGAUCUGUAGCUGGUCUGAGAGGACGACCAGCCACACUGGGACUGAGACACGGCCCAGACUCCUACGGAGGCAGCAGUGGGAAUUUUGGACAAUGGGCGCAAGCCUGAUCCAGCAAUGCCGCGUGUAGGAUGAAGGCCUUC
RNAcentral lists this ribosomal RNA (386 nucleotides) under uncultured bacterium. Its description in RNAcentral is "bacterial SSU rRNA". It matches the Rfam family "Bacterial small subunit ribosomal RNA", at positions 30 to 419 of the family's 1533-position model. The record is from RNAcentral.